GGCGGACGGGUGAGUAAUAUAUAGGUAAUGUGCCCUAGAGAAGAGGAUAACAGUUGGAAACGACUGCUAAUACUCUAUAUGCCUUUAAGACAAAAGUCUGCAAGGGAAAUAUUUAUAGCUCUAGGAUCGGCCUGUACGGUAUCAGCUAGUUGGUGAGGUAAUGGCUCACCAAGGCAAUGACGCCUAACUGGUUUGAGAGGAUGAUCAGUCACACUGGAACUGAGACACGGUCCAGACUCCUACGGGAGGCAGCAGUGGGGAAUAUUGCACAAUGGAGGAAACUCUGAUGCAGCAACGCCGCGUGGAGGAUGACACAUUUCGGUGCGUAAACUCCUUUUAUAUAGGAAGAUAAUGACGGUACUAUAUGAAUAAGCGCCGGCUAACUCCGUGCCAGCAGCCGCGGUAAUACGGAGGGCGCAAGCGUUACUCGGAAUCACUGGGCGUAAAGAGCGUGUAGGCGGAUAGAUAAGUCAGAAGUGAAAUCCUAUGGCUCAACCAUAGAACUGCUUUUGAAACUGUUUAUCUAGAGUGUGGGAGAGGUAGAUGGAAUUUCUGGUGUAGGGGUAAAAUCCGUAGAGAUCAGAAGGAAUACCGAUUGCGAAGGCGAUCUACUGGAACAUAACUGACGCUGAGACGCGAAAGCGUGGGGAGCAAACAGGAUUAGAUACCCUGGUAGUCCACGCCCUAAACGAUGUACACUAGUUGUUGUGAGGCUUGACCUUGCAGUAAUGCAGUUAACACAUUAAGUGUACC
Molecule: ribosomal RNA, 753 nt
Filed under: uncultured Arcobacter sp.
Lineage: Bacteria; Pseudomonadati; Campylobacterota; Epsilonproteobacteria; Campylobacterales; Arcobacteraceae
Description: bacterial SSU rRNA
Rfam family: Bacterial small subunit ribosomal RNA
Source: RNAcentral